GACGAACGCUGGCGGCGUGCUUAACACAUGCAAGUCGAACGGAAAGGCCCUGCUUUUGUGGGGUGCUCGAGUGGCGAACGGGUGAGUAACACGUGAGUAACCUGCCCUUGACUUUGGGAUAACUUCAGGAAACUGGGGCUAAUACCGGAUAGGAGCUCCUGCUGCAUGGUGGGGGUUGGAAAGUUUCGGCGGUUGGGGAUGGACUCGCGGCUUAUCAGCUUGUUGGUGGGGUAGUGGCUUACCAAGGCUUUGACGGGUAGCCGGCCUGAGAGGGUGACCGGCCACAUUGGGACUGAGAUACGGCCCAGACUCCUACGGGAGGCAGCAGUGGGGAAUAUGGCACAAUGGGCGGAAGCCUGAUGCAGCAGCGCCGCGUGCGGGAUGACGGCCUUCGGGUUGUAAACCGCUUUCGCCUGUGACGAAGCGUGAGUGACGGUAAUGGGUAAAGAAGCACCGGCUAACUACGUG
This 468-nucleotide ribosomal RNA is filed under the name uncultured bacterium. RNAcentral describes it as "partial 16S ribosomal RNA". It matches the Rfam family "Bacterial small subunit ribosomal RNA", at positions 28 to 507 of the family's 1533-position model. The record is from RNAcentral.